AGACCAAAACUGCAAGAGCAAGUGUUCCCCAUGCCAACAUGUGUCAUCUGCCAACUCCAGGGACAAGGAAGUUCUGGAAAAAGACAGGUAGACAAAAGACUAGCCUGCUCUUCAAAAGGUGCAAAAAUUCAAAGAAUUCUUACAGUAAAAGGAAUCUUCUAAUGUUUUGGCAGUCAUGGUUUUAUUGGCAUUUCAGACUAACAUUUCUCAACUCCUUUCAUCCUGCUUUGUUUAAACCAAAGAAGAUCUUGAGAGAAGGCCAGAAGAGCUAUGGGCAGACAUAAAAAGAAAAAUUUAAUCAUCAUGAAGUCCCCUGUUUGUUUUCCCUUAUUACUUCACAAGAGACUCUGGAUGCCUGGUUCACAGGAAGACAAAAAAUCACAAUUUUUCCUGUCUGAUUUCUGAUGAACAGUGUUGAUGAAACCCCAGGAUCCUAAAGCUGCAAAUGGCACAGAAAAUCAGGUAU
This is a long non-coding RNA of Strigops habroptila (Kakapo), 466 nucleotides long. RefSeq lists it as uncharacterized. The transcript has 4 exons. NCBI's taxonomy places the organism in Eukaryota, Metazoa, Chordata, Aves, Psittaciformes, Psittacidae. The record is from RefSeq and is a predicted model, not a curated record.